AAUAAUAAGAAAUAUGAAAAGUUACUUGACAACGCGGAUUCGGUUGGUUGACGACUUUUAAUUAAUAAACAUUCAAACUCGCCUCAACACCUCAAAAGUGGGAAGGACUCAUUUUUCCUACAAACUUCUAAGUCAAGUUUUGUCAAACUCGCUUGAAGCUUUUUUAUGUCUUUGUCUCCUAUAAAUGCUCCCAAAUUAACUCUGACAGCUAUUGACUUAAAAAAUGCAUGACUUCUAUUUGCCAGUGAAUUCAUGUCAUAUACUCGCAUCAAAAGUUAUGUAGCAUUUGUAUUGGCAGAAAACAUAAUUCCGAAUAUGAUAAUCAAAUGAACCAGUUUGUGUACUUGGUUUGCAAGUUCGUGCUCAUAAUUUGUAGUAACUUUUCUGUGUCCCUUUAGAUGCAUUAACUCCCCGCAUGAGCCCAAACAAAAUAAUUAGGAUAAUUUUCGCAAUUGGCAGAGAACCAUCAAUACAACCAUAGCAGACCGCGGAGACACACGGGGUGCAUAGAGCCUCGGGCGCUGCCCACGACUCAUCCUGGAGCAUUCGAAACCCCCGUAGUGUGAACUACCCUCUCCUGGUGUAGAUGAAAACAAGCCAGAUAUGCUCAUAUCUACAAGUCUGACCCACAGCUUCCAGGGAAAUGAUCGGAACCAUCUCUCCAGUUCGAUGACCGUCAGGGUCUAAUCUGGAAAGUAAUCUGUCCCUUCCGGGACUCUACAUGCGACCCCAAUCACUCCGAUGCUUCCACGCGCAUGUGACGGCCAGUCCUCCCUCCCUUCCAGAGUUCUGGACCAUUUCCCACACUUUCCGUGAAGAGAUGACUGCAGGACACAGAGCCCUCAGGUUCGGUUCCCAGAACGCCUAACUGCAGCUUUCGGGGACCACAGCCGACCCCAGCGGACCCCGCCUUCCCUCCCUCGCCUGUCCCCUCAAGCCUCGCCCCUACGGUUUCCUGUCCACCCACCGCCCAUUCACCGUCCAGUGCGUCACUCUGGGGGAGCUCUGGCUACUAUUUUUUUUUUUUUUUUUAAUCUUGUCAACUGUGAUCAGCGUCGCCGUUAGCGGCUAAAGUUGUCUGUCUGGGCCACGAGGCUGGGGAAGACGACAUGGGGGUGACACGGAGUAGGGCCAUCGCCUACAGCUGGGUCAAGGAGCUCUGGGCGCUCACCCCUUCGAAGUUCGGGGCUACUUUCCGCGGGAGGCUGUGGACGUCCGCUGAAGACAGUCGCUUGUAAGAACCCCGGCGUCUGGGGUGAAGCAGAUCCUUCCCCAGAUACACUUUGUGAAGUAAUAGAUGGGGCAGCCUACAGAGUGGGUAUUUAAUUUUUAAACAAAUGGGGUAUGCUAUGUGACAUUAGGGAAGGAGCCUGAGGGUGCCAUAUAGGAAACACCGUGGGAUCGAUCACUCUGACCAUCGUAGAGAAGUUGGAAAGGGACUUCUUCCGUUCACAUUUGCGGCAAACACCAUGAUUGGCAGAUACAAGGUCCAUGCCCAACCCUCUUCUUCCACGUCCUUCUUUCCAAUAGACAGUGUGAGCUAAAAACCUCCGUUUCCCGGCCUCGCUUGAAGUUCGAGUCACCACGUGACAGUGCUGGCACCAUCGCAUCCACUUCCUCUUCCCUCCAGCCUAAAUAGAAAGUGGAUGUCACCGUACCUGGAAGCACAGAAGCCCUCUUUCAAUCAUGGGGGGGACGUGGAUGAGGACAAAAGCCACCGCACUAAGAAUGACGGUGUAAAGCGGUGACGAGAGACGGGAUCCUUGGUGUCUUUGUUAGGCUGCUGCAUUAUCUUCAGACAUCUCUUGGGUGAGAGCAAUAAUCUUAGCCAUUUAAGCCACUGUCAUUAGCAACAAAAACAUGCCUUCGAGACCAUUCGAACUAACUGUUCUCUUGAGUCCAGGAGCCAGCACCACAGUAAAGUGGAUUAGACAGAACACAGAGGCACUAAACAGAGCACAGCAAAGACAGAACAGUGCCAAGAGAGAAUUCUCCAGCAAAUGGUGGCUGUCGCAGGCAUUGCUUGUCCGCAGUGUGUAUUAGAGAAGAUGGACCCUCUCGAAAAUCUGGCAAUAGAAACAGAAAUAGCUAGGAAAAUAGUUGACCAGAUUCCUCUCCUUAAAGUCUUCACUCUGAGAAAUUGAAAAAGGACAGAAAUUCUCAGCAUUUAUCAAAUAUCCUGAUAUAAGAAGGGUCCCCUUGAAUACAGACCAGCUAAAGAGAGACCGUAGGAGGUGUCAGGUGCCAAAGAGGGGGUAACAGGAGAGGCCGGUAACACAGCUGGGGGAGAGAGGUCGCUUUCACUGCCUCAGUUCCCUAUUGGAAUAUAUCGCUUGUUCCUCAACAAAUGCUGUGAGAUGCCCCGAGAAGCGCUCCGCUAACUGAAAACCUAACCACAGUCGUCAGCAGAGACGGACAUAAAAUAAACGAUUUGAGAUCAUGGAACUCUCAUGGAAAGAAGGUGUACACAGUCCGCAGUCUGCUCCCAGGAGUGCUGUCUGCAUUAUUCAUUUAAAGUUCGAGCAUUACUUUGGAAAUAUAAAGUGCUCUAUAAUUUCUCCAUA
Long non-coding RNA from Pteropus alecto (black flying fox), 2564 nucleotides. RefSeq lists it as uncharacterized. The transcript is spliced from 4 exons. Lineage: Eukaryota; Metazoa; Chordata; Mammalia; Chiroptera; Pteropodidae. The record is from RefSeq and is a predicted model, not a curated record.